This 492-nucleotide ribosomal RNA is filed under the name uncultured bacterium. Its description in RNAcentral is "partial 16S ribosomal RNA". It matches the Rfam family "Bacterial small subunit ribosomal RNA", at positions 29 to 507 of the family's 1533-position model. The record is from RNAcentral.
AGUGAACGCUGGCGGUAGGCCUAACACAUGCAAGUCGAACGGCAGCACAGUAAGAGCUUGCUCUUACGGGUGGCGAGUGGCGGACGGGUGAGGAAUACAUCGGAAUCUACUUUUUCGUGGGGGAUAACGUAGGGAAACUUACGCUAAUACCGCAUACGACCUACGGGUGAAAGCAGGGGAUCUUCGGACCUUGCGCGAUUGAAUGAGCCGAUGUCGGAUUAGCUAGUUGGCGGGGUAAAGGCCCACCAAGGCGACGAUCCGUAGCUGGUCUGAGAGGAUGAUCAGCCACACUGGAACUGAGACACGGUCCAGACUCCUACGGGAGGCAGCAGUGGGGAAUAUUGGACAAUGGGCGCAGGCCUGAUCCAGCCAUACCGCGUGGGUGAAGAAGGCCUUCGGGUUGUAAAGCCCUUUUGUUGGGAAAGAAAAGCAGCAGGUUAAUACCCCGCUGUUCCGACGGUACCCAAAGAAUAAGCACCGGCUAACUUCGUG